RNAcentral lists this ribosomal RNA (723 nucleotides) under Modestobacter sp. Br33. RNAcentral's name for it is "bacterial SSU rRNA". It matches the Rfam family "Bacterial small subunit ribosomal RNA", at positions 59 to 794 of the family's 1533-position model. The record is from RNAcentral. Lineage: Bacteria; Bacillati; Actinomycetota; Actinomycetes; Geodermatophilales; Geodermatophilaceae.
CAGUCGAGCGAGGCCCACUCUUCGGGGUGGUGCCCUAGCGGCGAACGGGUGAGUAACACGUGGGCAACCUGCCCUCAGCUCUGGGAUAACUCCAAGAAAUUGGUGCUAAUACCGGAUGUGACCGCUGACCGCAUGGUCUGGUGGUGGAAAGAUUCAUCGGCUGAGGAUGGGCCCGCGGCCUAUCAGCUUGUUGGUGGGGUAGUGGCCCACCAAGGCGACGACGGGUAGCCGGCCUGAGAGGGUGACCGGCCACACUGGGACUGAGACACGGCCCAGACUCCUACGGGAGGCAGCAGUGGGGAAUAUUGCGCAAUGGGCGGAAGCCUGACGCAGCGACGCCGCGUGAGGGAUGACGGCCUUCGGGUUGUAAACCUCUUUCAGUAGGGACGAAGCGAAAGUGACGGUACCUACAGAAGAAGCACCGGCCAACUACGUGCCAGCAGCCGCGGUAAUACGUAGGGUGCAAGCGUUGUCCGGAAUUAUUGGGCGUAAAGAGCUCGUAGGCGGUCUGUCGCGUCGGCUGUGAAAACCCGAGGCUCAACCUCGGGCCUGCAGUCGAUACGGGCAAACUAGAGUACUGCAGGGGAGACUGGAAUUCCUGGUGUAGCGGUGAUAUGCGCAGAUAUCAGGAGGAACACCGGUGGCGAAGGCGGGUCUCUGGGCAGUAACUGACGCUGAGGAGCGAAAGCGUGGGGAGCGAACAGGAUUAGAUACCCUGGUAGU